AUUUAGGUAGUUUAAGAAAAAUAUUAAUUUGUGGAAUUAAAGAUAUUUGAUAUUUAAGAAGAAAUUCUAAAUU
This 73-nucleotide transfer RNA is filed under the name Atta laevigata. Its description in RNAcentral is "tRNA-His". The record is from RNAcentral. Lineage: Eukaryota; Metazoa; Arthropoda; Insecta; Hymenoptera; Formicidae.